This 418-nucleotide long non-coding RNA is filed under the name Gopherus agassizii (Agassiz's desert tortoise). RNAcentral describes it as "lncRNA (ENSGAGG00000009367.1)". The record is from RNAcentral. Lineage: Eukaryota; Metazoa; Chordata; Testudines; Testudinidae.
CGGCGCUGCAGGCGGGGCCUGCCCCGCACGUCACCGGCAAGAUGGCGGCGCCCGGCUGGCCUAGCCUGGCGGAGCGGGGGAGCCCCCUGCCCCAACUCGGAGAAAAUUCUGAAUAGUAACAGUGAAGACUGACAUGACACUGACUACUGCACACAUUGCUACAGCAGAGGCAUUGGAGCUGUUUGCCUGCAGACCUAAGAAGGCAUAUCAGUUUACACUCUGUUUAGGAUUGGAAGCUUUGGUGCAUUGAUCCUCUGUGAACUGCUCAGUUUGGAGUCUUUGCUAUUCAUUGAAUGCAUACAUCAACCUCUGAGGAAAGACUUCCUGUAAACACAUCUAUUUUGCUUUAAGUGUAAGUAGCCUAUCUCUUGAGCUGUAAAUUUUCUAAGAUUAUAAUAAAUGCUCAUGUAGUUGUUCA